Molecule: long non-coding RNA, 1871 nt
Filed under: Helianthus annuus (common sunflower)
Lineage: Eukaryota; Viridiplantae; Streptophyta; Magnoliopsida; Asterales; Asteraceae
Source: RNAcentral
UCAAAAUUCAAAACCUUUCUUAUCUCAACUUAAACCCCCGACAUUUCAUCCCCUCAAGACCCGCGCCUCCUAAAUCCCCCUCCAUCAUCUUUUUCUCUCGACACCUCCGGUCAUUCACUAUAGCCAUCUGGAGGUUGAAAACCUAAUUCAUGGAGAUUACGAACAGAGCACGGAUCAGGACUUGAGCAUAUCCAACAAGGCUUGAAGGUAAUGUUUAUACGACUUUGUGUUUUACUAUAUGAUUUUUAUGGUUUUUUCUAGGGUGCUCAAUGCCAUUCUCGCCUAGCCAAUCAUCACAAGAUUUCACAGGAGCAAGUUAUUGAUGUGGGCCCUAAGAACACAUUAAUAUCGGCUAAUGUGUGUAGCUUCCAGUUCUGUGAAGGGCAUUUUGGAUGGUUCAACCUCUUCUGUAUCUUCCUCACCAAUAAACAAUACCCCUUAGGGGAAGAGUUUAGUUGAAAACCUUCUCUAGCCCUUCCUGAAGCAGGGUUAAUGAAUCUUGGUAGAACUUGUGCAGGCGCAGGCCGCACAACCAAUAUACCCUCAAUGUUCAUCCCAGUUACCUCUUGUGGUAACAGGGUCGAGAGCUAGGAUUUGGUUGCCAUGACAAAAUGUGGCCUUCAGGCUAGAAAUUUGUCACUCAAGAUAGAACAAAUGGCAUCAGGAAGAAGAAACGAUUUGAAUGUUGUAUUAUCAUCUGUUGGCAGUGCAAAUGAUGUUAUAUAUACAACACUUUUUUACAAGUUUUAGAUGUCGCCUAAGCUAUUUUUAGCAGCAAAUGUGAUAAGAUUUUCAACAUUUUCUAGAGGCAUUUGAAUACAACCUCAGUGUACACAGGCUGUUUUUUAAAAAAUCACCCGCAUUUGAGUUUAGAUAGUACAAUACUACACUCACUGGUCAACAUUUGACUCCUUUUUGGGAACCAAAUAUUAUAAUUUCUGAUUUGAUGUUGUCACUAAGGUAGUUUGGAAGAAUAUAGGGCUCUAUAUAAUGUACAGUUAGUGGUGAAGCAUAAGCUCUCGAAAAAAUAUGAUGUUUUUAGCCAAUCUGUAAUGUUUUAUUUGAGUUUCUAUCUGAUUUUGUAGUUGAGGAGGUAUGAAGUGGUGAUUUAGACUCUUACAGCUGAUAAAGCAGAUACAUCCACAAGUUCUUCUUCUAGGCCAUGGAGAUCACAUAUUAUCAUUAAAUCCUACUUUUAUUUACGAAGGCUAGAUGAGGCGAUCUAGAGUUCAUACAAAAACAAGAGAAUUCAUACCAUGUUACAAAAAGUGAAGGAAAUACAACCCAUGAAUCAACAAUACCUUGAGCUGAUGCAAUACGUGAGCUUUUAUCUCAUAUAGCAAGAAAUGAAGCAUAUAAAUUUGGAAAGCAUUCAAAAGCAGUAGAACAUUAUACUGCUCCUUUAUCUUGCAGCUUUGAAUCUCCUCCAUUUGCAUCAAUAUACUUUUGCAAUCGCACUGCAUCGUACAAAGCUUUGGGUUAAAUCAUAGAUGGCAUUGCAAAUUGCAGCCUAGCUAUUGCCCUUGAUCUAAACUAUCUCAAGGUUCAUUUAUGUUCUAUCCAAUGCGUCAAAUGGGUUAAAUCAAAAUAUUUAUUUAUUUAUUUAGUUAAAAAGGGAAUGGGUGAACAGUUAUCUAAAGUGUUUUUAUUAUUUGUAAGAGGUUGUAAAACGAUGUAAAUUGAUUGUAAAAAGUUUAUGUAAGUAUAAGACCAUUAUGAUACAAUUUGGGCUUGAUAUGUUUGAUAAUGGUCUCAUUUUUAGUAUGCGUCAAAGCCUGCACAUUUUUCUUUCUUUCUGGUGUAUAUCGUUUAUCUUGUUGGUAUGCGUCAAAACCCGUACAGAUUUCUGUAUACCACAAGUAUAAGAGCAU